RNAcentral lists this microRNA (21 nucleotides) under Homo sapiens (human). RNAcentral describes it as "hsa-miR-6507-5p". The record is from miRBase by way of RNAcentral. Lineage: Eukaryota; Metazoa; Chordata; Mammalia; Primates; Hominidae.
GAAGAAUAGGAGGGACUUUGU